UUUGCUAAGGGUGAGCAUUGACAUGUCUGAAUUUUUCUUUUGCAUGGCAAGAAAGGGUCCAGAUUUACAAAUGAAUCAAGGUGGUUCCAGAUUGUUCCAAAAUCACUAGAUUGCUCACUUCUAGAAGUGUUCUUCUGGAGGCAUCUGAGAAGGGAUGGGAAUAAAUAAGAAGUAAAAUUGUAACGCAUUCUGUAACAGUGACUUUGGUAAAAAUAUUGACAAUAUAAGAACUCCUUAUAUUGUCAACACAAUUUACUCACAGGAGAACUUGACCACUAAGCUACAUCCCCAGCCCCCUUUCUUGUAUUUUAUUUAGAGAAAGGGUCUCACUGAAUUGCUUAGCACCUUGUUUUUGCUGAGGCUGGCUUUGAACUCUCAAUCCUCCUGUGUCAGCCUCCUGAGCUGCUGGGAUUACAGGCAUGCGCCACCACACCCAGCCCUGAUUGAUUUUUAUCCCUUACAUGAAAGGGAAAAAAAAAAUGUGUGUGCAAAAAAGCUGUCUGUUCCAUAUUUAAGAAUGAUUCUACAUUGCUUAAUUGAACUUGGGGAAUCUUGGAAAUGGCUCUUUAUAUUCAAUUUCCUUUAUAACUUGGGCCACUCUAAACUUCUCCCAAAGGCUUUGACAAUUUUGAGGUCAGGGGAAGGCCAGAGUAAGAUCUGCAAUGGCAGUUCCAUGGAGUGUCUGUGUGGAAAGGAGAAAAGGACUUCUUUUCUUAAAUAUGACACAAGAAGUGA
This 735-nucleotide long non-coding RNA is filed under the name Marmota monax (woodchuck). The record is from RNAcentral. Lineage: Eukaryota; Metazoa; Chordata; Mammalia; Rodentia; Sciuridae.